GACCCACGUCCUGAGGAAGAGGAGAGACACAGUGAAGGUUCCACGCCGGGGUCGCCCUGACCCUCCCUGUGGGAAGGUUUUAUUCAGGACUAACCAGCCGACCACGAAGACAGAAACGGGCGGGGUUUAGCCGCGUGAGACGGCGACCAUUGAAAAAAAACAAAACGUUUGACUACUUUGCUUCUGCUCCUCCCGUUCACGAGUUCAGAGGAAAUGACGUCACAGCAGGCAAUUCCAGAAAAGACGGACACGCCCACGGCCAGGUAGAGCAGCAGGAUGCCCACCUCACGGUAGCUGUGCUGCAGGUACAACAAGCAGAGCCGUUAGCCAGACGCAAAGAACGGCCCAAACCUGAGGUCCAAAUAUCCAACCAAAGUAUCCCUCUGGGGGCUUUGAAACGGAAUAAAUGUCCACUGCUGGCCACGCCCACGCCAUGGGAGGAUCAGCUGAAACCUGCAGAGGGAUCACACCUGUGGAUCUUUUGUCGGUUUAACUCAUUUAGGUCACCACAGGUGGAGGUUCAAGUCCCCUGUUGAACCGGAACAGGAGCGUCUGUGAAGAAGCCGUGUGGAUCAGAGGAACACGUCUGACUGCUGGUUAGACUUUUCAUCUGCAGCUAAUGAACAGACAUGGAGUCCUCUGCUUUUCUAUGCGUCACAUCACAUCCAUCUGAUGACCACCUACAAACAUGUCAGGCAUGUGAGAAACACAACCGUCUGAUAACAGAAGAACCUGAGAAGUCGGCUAAUGAGGAAGGCGGCGUCUUCCCGCCGCCGCUGCACUAAUGAAGGCGUCUGAAGGGCGGGAAGCAUCACAGACGCUUUGUGAAAGUCCAAGAAACCAUGUUGCUUCUCGGGGAAACUCCACAUGAGGCCUGAGGCCAUCAAAGGAGGCGCUGACGGCCAAAAGAACCCCACAGUCACUGAAACAGGUUUAGACCCAAACCUGAAGUCUCACUCGGAUCCUUAGAGGUUUUUUUAAAGUGCAGCGGAAAAUGUUUUCUGCUGUUUGAAUCCCAGGAAAACUAGAGAUGAAUUAAAACUGUUGGAAAUGCGGCCUGAAUGCAGCUCACAUGUCACAUGACCCGUCACAUGACUGCGCCGUUUCCAGCUGUGCUCCUGUUUUCAUGUCUGGACCGUUGGGUUCUGAGCUGAUCCUGAAUGCAGCUGUGGAGGCAGAGGAGGUCACAGCACAGUGGGUUUGAGCUGGGGAUUCAAACUUACCACCAAGAUCCGGCCAAAGUGAGCCUGAGCUGGAGGAUAGUAGCCCCCCCACACACACCCCCUGCUCACUCAUGCUGUCAGAACGAUCAGAACCAGAUUGUGGGGCUGGGCCUGAAGCGUCUGAUGUUCUGUUGGACCGGUGUGUGUGAAAAGACUCACCCGCAGAGUGGCCC
This is a long non-coding RNA of Oryzias latipes (Japanese medaka), 1396 nucleotides long. RefSeq lists it as uncharacterized. The record is from RefSeq and is a predicted model, not a curated record. Lineage: Eukaryota; Metazoa; Chordata; Actinopteri; Beloniformes; Adrianichthyidae.